Molecule: long non-coding RNA, 901 nt
Organism: Piliocolobus tephrosceles (Ugandan red Colobus)
Lineage: Eukaryota; Metazoa; Chordata; Mammalia; Primates; Cercopithecidae
Exons: 3
Source: RefSeq, a predicted model, not a curated record
GGCGUCUUUGUCCACUGGGUGCUGCCGAAUUCUUUGGGCUGUAACAGAGGAAAUAUGUUCAUGGUUGGAGGCCAAUUGCUGUUUUUCAGCUAAUAUGCUCAGUGAAAAUGAGUGAGCAACUCACAAACAGGGUCAAGACAAAGAGAACUGUCACCCACACCUGCCUCUUUUUUGAACAGCAUGCUUACCUUAAUUUCAAGCGCGAUAGCACCACUCUGUAUAGGUAACUUGCAGGAAUGAAAACAAAGAGAAUGAUCCUGGACUUUGAAGAAACAGCUGGACUUCCUUGUAAACAGCCCAGCUCUGCUUGUUGGUGUGGCAAUUCUGUGAUUCAUUUGAUUUUACUCUUUAGUAUUUUGACUAUCAACUCUGAUUUCUAAACAAAGGAACUGAAAAACUGUAACAAAAUGGAAGCAACUCUUAAGACUAAGGAAUGAAACAUAACCUAAACUUAUUUUUAGAACUAUAUACUAAUCCUUAAAAAAUUUAAAGAAAAUUAUUUACUGCAGGAAGUGGAAAUGUCUUAGCGUGAUACAAAAGAAUCUUCAUAGUCUGGCCUCUGCCUCUUGAUUCAGCCUCCACUCGUAUUAGUCUUUCUCUUACAUGUCUUGCUUUGGGAUGCUGGAAGGACUUGGAAUUUCUGAACCUGCCACUCUGUUUCAUGCCACCAGACCUUCAUUUCCUUCCCUGUUCUCCCAGCCUGAGUUAAUUAUUCCUUCCUCUGAGCUGCAUGUCCUUCUACUAGUGCCCUUAUCAGAUUGUAUGAUAGUUAUUUGUUUAUGUGUCUUGGUUGUUAGAGAAUUUCUUAAGGUAAGGAACCUAUUGUAUUCAUGCCUUUCUGUGUCUAGCAUGUUCCUUAGGUCACUAUGUUAAAAUACAAAAAUUAACCAGGCAUGGUGGU